RNAcentral lists this long non-coding RNA (252 nucleotides) under Lathyrus oleraceus (garden pea). Its description in RNAcentral is "Pisum sativum (pea) long non-coding RNA (PSAT_LNC033364)". Lineage: Eukaryota; Viridiplantae; Streptophyta; Magnoliopsida; Fabales; Fabaceae. The record is from RNAcentral.
UCAGAGAAACCUGGAAAGACAUGGUCUCGCGACCAGAGAGAAAAGGUUCGGGAGUCGGUUACGCGAGGGGAAGGUAUUAGCACCCCUCACGUCCGUCGUACUCGACGGGAUCCACGUUCUAAGAAAAGAAAAGGUUGCUAAACAUCACACACACACACAAGGGAACGCAGGUGGGGUUAAGAGAAACGGGCUCGAUAAGGUAUCGCACCUUAUGCCUACAUAUCUUGUCUGGAACAAGAAUCAGAGCCACUG